CGUGUAGGCUGCUCUGCAAGUCGGGUGUGAAAGCCCCGGGCUCAACCUGGGAAGUGCACUCGAAACUGCAGAGCUCGAGUCCUGGAGAGGAAGGCGGAAUUCUCGGUGUAGAGGUGAAAUUCGUAGAUAUCGAGAGGAACACCGGUGGCGAAGGCGGCCUUCUGGACAGUGACUGACGCUGAGACGCGAAAGCGUGGGGAGCAAACAGGAUUAGAUACCCUGGUAGUCCACGCCGUAAACGAUGGGUGCUAGGUGUCGCGGGCUUUGACCCCUGCGGUGCCGCAGCUAACGCAUUAAGCACCCCGCCUGGGGAGUACGGCCGCAAGGCUAAA
This 332-nucleotide ribosomal RNA is filed under the name uncultured Chondromyces sp. RNAcentral's name for it is "bacterial SSU rRNA". It matches the Rfam family "Bacterial small subunit ribosomal RNA", at positions 568 to 898 of the family's 1533-position model. The record is from RNAcentral. Lineage: Bacteria; Pseudomonadati; Myxococcota; Polyangiales; Polyangiaceae.